RNAcentral lists this ribosomal RNA (1626 nucleotides) under Staphylococcus epidermidis. RNAcentral describes it as "partial 23S ribosomal RNA". It matches the Rfam family "Bacterial large subunit ribosomal RNA", at positions 969 to 2839 of the family's 2925-position model. Lineage: Bacteria; Bacillati; Bacillota; Bacilli; Caryophanales; Staphylococcaceae. The record is from RNAcentral.
AAUUUAACUUGGGAGUCAGAACAUGGGUGAUAAGGUCCGUGUUCGAAAGGGAAACAGCCCAGACCACCAGCUAAGGUCCCAAAAUAUAUGUUAAGUGGAAAAGGAUGUGGCGUUGCCCAGACAACUAGGAUGUUGGCUUAGAAGCAGCCAUCAUUUAAAGAGUGCGUAAUAGCUCACUAGUCGAGUGACACUGCGCCGAAAAUGUACCGGGGCUAAACAUAUUACCGAAGCUGUGGAUUGUCCUUUGGACAAUGGUAGGAGAGCGUUCUAAGGGCGUCGAAGCAUGAUCGCAAGGACAUGUGGAGCGCUUAGAAGUGAGAAUGCCGGUGUGAGUAGCGAAAGACGGGUGAGAAUCCCGUCCACCGAUUGACUAAGGUUUCCAGAGGAAGGCUCGUCCGCUCUGGGUUAGUCGGGUCCUAAGCUGAGGCCGACAGGCGUAGGCGAUGGAUAACAGGUUGAUAUUCCUGUACCACCUAAGUAGGAUAGGCGAAGCGUGCGAUUGGAUUGCACGUCUAAGCAGUAAGGCUGAGUAUUAGGCAAAUCCGGUACUCGUUAAGGCUGAGCUGUGAUGGGGAGAAGACAUUGUGUCUUCGAGUCGUUGAUUUCACACUGCCGAGAAAAGCCUCUAGAUAGAAAAUAGGUGCCCGUACCGCAAACCGACACAGGUAGUCAAGAUGAGAAUUCUAAGGUGAGCGAGCGAACUCUCGUUAAGGAACUCGGCAAAAUGACCCCGUAACNNNNNNNNNNNNNNNNNNNNNNNNNNNNNNNNNNNNNNNNNNNNNNNNNNNNNNNNNNNNNNNNAAGCCCCAGUAAACGGCGGCCGUAACUAUAACGGUCCUAAGGUAGCGAAAUUCCUUGUCGGGUAAGUUCCGACCCGCACGAAAGGCGUAACGAUUUGGGCACUGUCUCAACGAGAGACUCGGUGAAAUCAUAGUACCUGUGAAGAUGCAGGUUACCCGCGACAGGACGGAAAGACCCCGUGGAGCUUUACUGUAGCCUGAUAUUGAAAUUCGGCACAGCUUGUACAGGAUAGGUAGGAGCCUUUGAAACGUGAGCGCUAGCUUACGUGGAGGCGUUGGUGGGAUACUACCCUAGCUGUGUUGGCUUUCUAACCCGCACCACUUAUCGUGGUGGGAGACAGUGUCAGGCGGGCAGUUUGACUGGGGCGGUCGCCUCCUAAAAGGUAACGGAGGCGCUCAAAGGUUCCCUCAGAAUGGUUGGAAAUCAUUCAUAGAGUGUAAAGGCAUAAGGGAGCUUGACUGCGAGACGGCUUAUCUCCCCCAAGAGUUCACAUCGACGGGGAGGUUUGGCACCUCGAUGUCGGCUCAUCGCAUCCUGGGGCUGUAGUCGGUCCCAAGGGUUGGGCUGUUCGCCCAUUAAAGCGGUACGCGAGCUGGGUUCAGAACGUCGUGAGACAGUUCGGUCCCUAUCCGUCGUGGGCGUAGGAAAUUUGAGAGGAGCUGUCCUUAGUACGAGAGGACCGGGAUGGACAUACCUCUGGUGUACCAGUUGUCGUGCCAACGGCAUAGCUGGGUAGCUAUGUAUGGACGGGAUAAGUGCUGAAAGCAUCUAAGCAUGAAGCCCCCCUCAAGAUGAGAUUUCCCAACUUCGGUUAUAAGAUCCCUC